AACAGGAUUAGAUACCCUGGUAGUCCAUGCCGUAAACGAUGUCUACUAGCCGUUGGGGCCCUUGAGGCUUUAGUGGCGCAGCUAACGCGAUAAGUAGACCGCCUGGGGAGUACGGUCGCAAGACUAAAACUCAAAUGAAUUGACGGGGGCCCGCACAAGCGGUGGAGCAUGUGGUUUAAUUCGAUGCAACGCGAAGAACCUUACCUGGCCUUGACAUACAGAGAACUUUCCAGAGAUGGAUUGGUGCCUUCGGGAACUCUGAUACAGGUGCUGCAUGGCUGUCGCCAGCUCGUGUCGUGAGAUGUUGGGUUAAGUCCCGCAACGAGCGCAACCCUUUUCCUUAUUUGCCAGCACUUCGGGUGGGAACUUUAAGGAUACUGCCAGUGACAAACUGGAGGAAGGCGGGGACGACGUCAAGUCAUCAUGGCCCUUACGGCCAGGGCUACACACGUGCUACAAUGGUCGGUACAAAGGGUUGCUACACAGCGAUGUGAUGCUAAUCUCAAAAAGCCGAUCGUAGUCCGGAUUGGAGUCUGCAACUCGACUCCAUGAAGUCGGAAUCGCUAGUAAUCGCGGAUCAGGAUGCCGCGGUGAAUACGUUCCCGGGCCUUGUACACACCGCCCGUCACACCAUGGGAGUUUGUUGCACCAGAAGUAGGUAGUCUAACCGCAAGGAGGACGCUUACCACGGUGUGGCCGAUGACUGGGGUGAAGUCGUAACAAGGUAGCCAUAGGGGAACCUGCGGCUGGAUCACCUCCUU
Molecule: ribosomal RNA, 761 nt
Filed under: uncultured bacterium
Lineage: Bacteria
Description: bacterial SSU rRNA
Rfam family: Bacterial small subunit ribosomal RNA
Source: RNAcentral